RNAcentral lists this ribosomal RNA (500 nucleotides) under uncultured bacterium. RNAcentral's name for it is "bacterial SSU rRNA". It matches the Rfam family "Bacterial small subunit ribosomal RNA", at positions 197 to 677 of the family's 1533-position model. The record is from RNAcentral.
GAGAGGAAAGCGGGGGACCUUCGGGCCUCGUGUUGCGAGAUGAACCUACGUCCGAUUAGCUAGUUGGAAGGGUAACGGCCUACCAAGGCGACGAUCGGUAGCUGGUCUGAGAGGAUGAUCAGCCACACUGGGACUGAGACACGGCCCAGACUCCUACGGGAGGCAGCAGUGGGGAAUAUUGGACAAUGGGCGCAAGCCUGAUCCAGCAAUGCCGCGUGGGUGAAGACGGCCUGCGGGUUGUAAAGCCCUUUAGGUGGGGAAGAAGGAUAGGGUACGAACAAUGCCUUAUUUUGACAUUACCCACGGAAUAAGCACCGGCUAACUCCGUGCCAGCAGCCGCGGUAAUACGGAGGGUGCGAGCGUUAAUCGGAAUGACUGGGCGUAAAGCGUGCGUAGGCGGUAACGUUAGUCAGCCCGUGAAAGCCCUGGGCUCAACCUGGGAAUGGCGGUUGAAACGGCGUAACUUGAGUGGGCUAGAGGACUGUGGAACUCCCGGUGUA